AUGUGAAUUAAAAUUGAGUUUGCUCCCUUGUUUUUCUAAAGAGAUUAAAUUGCAUUUUUGGGUUUUGGACAUUCAGGAGCUACAUUGGAUUUGAGACUAGAUAAGUAGACAUGUGAUAUUUGAGUGAAAUUUAAGAACCGGGUCCAGUCUUUGGAACUAAUUUACUCGUGAGUUUUCUUUUCAGGCCUUCAUUUUUCAGUAACAAUGGGGGAUUUAUUUUUCUUUCUUGUUUGGGCUUUCCCUUUGAUAUGACAACUUUUAGAUUUCAGUGAAGUGGGUUUUACCUGGUGAGAUUGAUUUGGCAUUGCUGUAAUAUAAUUGUGGGUUUCUUUUAUGUGAAUGACUAGGAGCUUGUAGAGACAGCUCAGGAAAGGGGGGAUGAAAAGUGAAAUUGUGGGUAUUCAAAAUCAUUGAAGUAUAAAGGAAGCAGGUUAUGAUUUUCAAGACUGAUUUGUACUCUGUUUUCACAUUAUAGUUUCUGAGAGUGAUUUUGUAAGAAGGGAGAUGAAAAGUAUAGUUGUGGGUGUGGAAGUACAAUGACUGGGGGGUC
Molecule: unclassified non-coding RNA, 550 nt
Filed under: Hevea brasiliensis (rubber tree)
Lineage: Eukaryota; Viridiplantae; Streptophyta; Magnoliopsida; Malpighiales; Euphorbiaceae
Source: RNAcentral